Molecule: ribosomal RNA, 268 nt
Filed under: uncultured soil bacterium
Lineage: Bacteria
Description: partial 16S ribosomal RNA
Rfam family: Bacterial small subunit ribosomal RNA
Source: RNAcentral
AGAAUCAACGCUGGCGGCGUGCCUAACACAUGCAAGUCGAAUGCGAAAGGGACUUCGGUCCUGAGUAGAGUGGCGAACGGGUGAGUAACGCGUGGGUGACCUACCCUCGAGUGGGGGAUAACGUUCCGAAAGGGACGCUAAUACCGCAUGACAUUCCUGGUUUGAAGACCGGGAAAUCAAAGCCGGGGACCUAAGGCCUGGCGCUUGAGGAGGGCCCGCGUCUGAUUAGCUAGUUGGCGGGUAACGCCCACGAAGGCGACGAUCAGUA